RNAcentral lists this ribosomal RNA (499 nucleotides) under uncultured bacterium. Its description in RNAcentral is "partial 16S ribosomal RNA". It matches the Rfam family "Bacterial small subunit ribosomal RNA", at positions 28 to 507 of the family's 1533-position model. The record is from RNAcentral.
GAUGAACGCUGGCGGCGUGCCUAAUACAUGCAAGUCGAGCGAACAGACGAGAGUGCUUGCACUCUCUGACGUUAGCGGCGGACGGGUGAGUAACACGUGGGUAACCUACCUAUAAGACUGGGAUAACUUCGGGAAACCGGAGCUAAUACCGGAUAAUAUUUAGCUUCGCAUGAAGCAAUAGUGAAAGACGGUUCUGCUGUCACUUAUAGAUGGACCCGCGGUGUAUUAGCUAGUUGGUGAGGUAACGGCUCACCAAGGCAACGAUACAUAGCCGACCUGAGAGGGUGAUCGGCCACACUGGGACUGAGACACGGCCCAGACUCCUACGGGAGGCAGCAGUAGGGAAUCUUCCGCAAUGGACGAAAGUCUGACAGAGCAAUGCCGCGUGAGUGAAGAAGGUGUUCGGAUCGUAAAACUCUGUUGUAAGGGAAGAACUAGUACGUUAGUAACUGAACGUACCUUGACGGUACCUUACCAGAAAGCCACGGCUAACUACGUG